AGUCGAGGGGCAGCAUGGUCUUAGCUUGCUAAGGCCGAUGGCGACCGGCGCACGGGUGAGUAACACGUAUCCAACCUGCCGUCUACUCUUGGACAGCCUUCUGAAAGGAAGAUUAAUACAAGAUGGCAUCAUGAGUCCGCAUGUUCACAUGAUUAAAGGUAUUCCGGUAGACGAUGGGGAUGCGUUCCAUUAGAUAGUAGGCGGGGUAACGGCCCACCUAGUCUUCGAUGGAUAGGGGUUCUGAGAGGAAGGUCCCCCACAUUGGAACUGAGACACGGUCCAAACUCCUACGGGAGGCAGCAGUGAGGAAUAUUGGUCAAUGGGCGAGAGCCUGAACCAGCCAAGUAGCGUGAAGGAUGACUGCCCUAUGGGUUGUAAACUUCUUUUAUAAAGGAAUAAAGUCGGGUAUGGAUACCCGUUUGCAUGUACUUUAUGAAUAAGGAUCGGCUAACUCCGUGCCAGCAGCCGCGGUAAUACGGAGGAUCCGAGCGUUAUCCGGAUUUAUUGGGUUUAAAGGGAGCGUAGAUGGAUGUUUAAGUCAGUUGUGAAAGUUUGCGGCUCAACCGUAAAAUUGCAGUUGAUACUGGAUAUCUUGAGUGCAGUUGAGGCAGGCGGAAUUCGUGGUGUAGCGGUGAAAUGCUUAGAUAUCACGAAGAACUCCGAUUGCGAAGGCAGCCUGCUAAGCUGCAACUGACAUUGAGGCUCGAAAGUGUGGGUAUCAAACAGGAUUAGAUACCCUGGUAGUCCACACGGUAAACGAUGAAUACUCGCUGUUUGCGAUAUACUGCAAGCGGCCAAGCGAAAGCGUUAAGUAUUCCACCUGGGGAGUACGCCGGCAACGGUGAAACUCAAAGGAAUUGACGGGGGCCCGCACAAGCGGAGGAACAUGUGGUUUAAUUCGAUGAUACGCGAGGAACCUUACCCGGGCUUAAAUUGCAGAUGAAUUACGGUGAAAGCCGUAAGCCGCAAGGCAUCUGUGAAGGUGCUGCAUGGUUGUCGUCAGCUCGUGCCGUGAGGUGUCGGCUUAAGUGCCAUAACGAGCGCAACCCUUGUUGUCAGUUACUAACAGGUUCCGCUGAGGACUCUGACAAGACUGCCAUCGUAAGAUGUGAGGAAGGUGGGGAUGACGUCAAAUCAGCACGGCCCUUACGUCCGGGGCUACACACGUGUUACAAUGGGGGGUACAGAGGGCCGCUACCACGCGAGUGGAUGCCAAUCCCCAAAACCUCUCUCAGUUCGGACUGGAGUCUGCAACCCGACUCCACGAAGCUGGAUUCGCUAGUAAUCGCGCAUCAGCCACGGCGCGGUGAAUACGUUCCCGGGCCUUGUACACACCGCCCGUCAAGCCAUGGGAGCCGGGGGUACCUGAAGUGCGUAACCGCGA
Molecule: ribosomal RNA, 1384 nt
Filed under: Phocaeicola vulgatus
Lineage: Bacteria; Pseudomonadati; Bacteroidota; Bacteroidia; Bacteroidales; Bacteroidaceae
Description: bacterial SSU rRNA
Rfam family: Bacterial small subunit ribosomal RNA
Source: RNAcentral